GUGAGGAAUCUUCCACAAUGGGCGAAAGCCUGAUGGAGCAACGCCGCGUGAAGGAUGAAGGUCUUCGGAUUGUAAACUUCUUUUAUGAGUGAAGAAUAUGACGGUAACUCAUGAAUAAGCACCGGCUAACUACGUGCCAGCAGCCGCGGUCAUACGUAGGGUGCAAGCAUUAUCCGGAGUGACUGGGCGUAAAGAGUUGCGUAGGCGGUUAUGUAAGCGAAUAGUGAAACCUGGUGGCUCAACCACACAGACUAUUAUUCGAACUGCAUAACUCGAGAAUGGUAGAGGUAACUGGAAUUUCUUGUGUAGGAGUGAAAUCCGUAGAUAUAAGAAGGAACACCAAUGGCGUAGGCAGGUUACUGGGCCAUUUCUGACGCUAAGGCACGAAAGCGUGGGGAGCGAACCGGAUUAGAAACCCGAGAAGUCC
This 427-nucleotide ribosomal RNA is filed under the name uncultured bacterium. Its description in RNAcentral is "partial 16S ribosomal RNA". It matches the Rfam family "Bacterial small subunit ribosomal RNA", at positions 354 to 796 of the family's 1533-position model. The record is from RNAcentral.